Long non-coding RNA from Oncorhynchus tshawytscha (Chinook salmon), 1326 nucleotides. The record is from Ensembl. Lineage: Eukaryota; Metazoa; Chordata; Actinopteri; Salmoniformes; Salmonidae.
GCCUUGGAUAACAUUGAACUUCCCAACUCAAAACUGCCUGACGACCUCUAGAGCAUCUUCAACUGCUCCUGUGGGAAGAUAACAUUUUCCUGAUUACACAUAGUGGUGACAAUGAACUGUCAUGGAGCAAAUGCAGAAGAACAAUUAAAGCUCCUCAGAGGAAUGAGGGGAAGGAGGCCUGUAUAAAGCUACUCAGAGGAACGAGGGGAAGGAGGCCUGUAUAAAGCUACUCAGAGGAAUGAGGGGAAGGAGGCCUGUAUAAAGCUACUCAGAGGAAUGAGGGGAAGGAGGCCUGAAUAAAGCUACUCAGAGGAAUGAGGGGAAGGAGUGCUGUAUAAAGCUACUCAGAGGAACGAGGGGAAGGAGGCCUGUAUAAAGCUACUCAGAGGAAUGAGGGGAAGGAGGCCUGUAUAAAGCUACUCAGAGGAAUGAGGGGAAGGAGGCCUGUAUAAAGCUACUCAGAGGAAUGAGGGGAAGGAGGGCUGUAUAAAGCUACUCAGAGGAAUGAGGGGAAGGAGGCCUGUAUAAAGCUACUCAGAGGAAUGAGGGGAAGGAGGCCUGUAUAAAGCUACACAGUGGAAUGAGAGGAAGGAGUGCUGUAUAAAGCUACUCAGGGGAAUGAGGGGAAGGAGGCCUGUAUAAAGGGACUACAACAGAUGACUGAAAAUGAACCACUAAACCCUACGGACCCUAAAUUCCCACAAUCCAUCUCGGUGAUAUUUAUACAUGUGAGCCAGGCUUUUAUUAGAGACGCCUUAAAACGCUCUACAACAUCCCUGGGAGAUUCAGUCACACCACUCACCAGGUGGGUUAGUGCUAAAAUAAUGACGUCAGAUCUGAAUUCCCACAUCUAAUACGCACCUUGACCGUUAAGGCUCUGGUCUGGGACCGUUUACAAGACAGGAAACAGUCUAAACACCCUCGGUUAUGUCCUCUCCUGCUUGGCUGAGUAAUGGAUUAGUCAACCCCUUAACCUCUGACCCCUGACCUCUAUAGGCCCUGACCCUGUACGACGGGGACCCUCCUCCCAGCAGAGAGGGGUCAGAGGCCUGACUGGAGCUGGAGGAGUCUGAUGACUACAAUGUUUCGUCACAAAUGGCACCCUUUCCCACUUUAUAGUGCACUACUUUUAACCUGAGACAUAAGUGUCCUGGUCUAAAGUAGUGCACUAUAUAGGGAAUAGGGUGCUAUUUGGGAUUGAGUCUAUCUACUCCCAUCUAUCUACUCCCACUGCUAUUAUACAAAAAAAUCGAAUAGUGCUGAUUGUUUAACUCUUUAUGCAUGUAUGCAUGUAUACCACACACACACACACACACACACACACAC